This 464-nucleotide ribosomal RNA is filed under the name uncultured bacterium. Its description in RNAcentral is "bacterial SSU rRNA". It matches the Rfam family "Bacterial small subunit ribosomal RNA", at positions 29 to 506 of the family's 1533-position model. The record is from RNAcentral.
AUGAACGCUGGCGGCGUGCUUCAGACAUGCAAGUUGCACGAGAAAGUCCCUUCGGGGAUGAGUAAAGUGGCGCACGGGUGAGUAAUACUUAGGUAACGUACCUUCUCGCUGGGGACAACCAGGCGAAAGCUUGGCUAAUACCGAAUGAUCCCGCUUUGACCUCGGUCUUUGUGGGUAAAGCCGUAAGGCGCGAGAAGAUCGGCUUAAGUCUCAUUAGCUAGUUGGUAGGGUAAUGGCCUACCAAGGCUUUGAUGGGUAGCUGAUCUGAGAGGAUGUUCAGCCACACUGGAACUGGAACACGGUCCAGACUCCUACGGGAGGCAGCAGUUAGGAAUUUUGCGCAAUGGGGGAAACCCUGACGCAGCAACGCCGCGUGAGUGAAGAAGGCCUUCGGGUUGUAAAACUCUUUUAGCAGGGACGAAACAAAUGACGGUACCUGCAGAAAAAGCACCGGCUAACUCUGU